This 422-nucleotide ribosomal RNA is filed under the name uncultured bacterium. RNAcentral describes it as "bacterial SSU rRNA". It matches the Rfam family "Bacterial small subunit ribosomal RNA", at positions 362 to 776 of the family's 1533-position model. The record is from RNAcentral.
UAUUGGACAAUGGGCGAAAGCCUGAUCCAGCAAUGCCGCGUGUGUGAAGAAGGCCUGCGGGUUGUAAAGCACUUUAAGCAGGGAAGAAAGGCGGGAGGUUAAUACCCUUUUGCACUGACGUUACCUGCAGAAUAAGCACCGGCUAACUCCGUGCCAGCAGCCGCGGUAAUAUGGAGGGUGCGAGCGUUAAUCGGAAUUACUGGGCGUAAAGCGCGCGUAGGCGGUUUGUUAAGUCGGCUGUGAAAGCCCCGGGCUUAACCUGGGAAUGGCAGUUGAUACUGGCGAGCUUGAGUGUGGUAGAGGGGUGUGGAAUUUCCGGUGUAGCAGUGAAAUGCGUAGAGAUCGGAAGGAACACCAGUGGCGAAGGCGGCACCCUGGACCAACACUGACGCUGAGGUGCGAAAGCGUGGGGAGCAAACAGG